GAAAUUUGGCUUAAUGCCCUAUAGUAUCUUUUUAAGGCAUCUUAUUAAGAUUAAAGGUUACGGUAUGAGACGAGUAUGCGUUCUAUUAGCUAGUAGAUCUGGUAACGGCACACCUAGGCUACGAUAGAUAGGGGCCCUGAGAGGGGGAUCCCCCACACUGGUACUGAGACACGACCAGACUCUUACGGGAGGCAGCAGUAAGGAAUAUUGGUCAAUGGACGAAAGUCUGAACCAGCCAUGCCGCGUGCAGGAUGACUGCCCUAUGGGUUGUAAACUGCUUUUAUAUAGGAAGAAAAACUUUCUCGUGAGAAAGCUUGACGGUACUAUAAGAAUAAGGAUC
Molecule: ribosomal RNA, 340 nt
Filed under: uncultured Bacteroidota bacterium
Lineage: Bacteria; Pseudomonadati; Bacteroidota
Description: bacterial SSU rRNA
Rfam family: Bacterial small subunit ribosomal RNA
Source: RNAcentral